Molecule: ribosomal RNA, 274 nt
Filed under: uncultured bacterium
Lineage: Bacteria
Description: partial 16S ribosomal RNA
Rfam family: Bacterial small subunit ribosomal RNA
Source: RNAcentral
AUACAGAGGGUGCAAACGUUGUUCGGAAUCACUGGGCUUAAAGCGCGCGUAGGCGGCGACAUCAGUGUCUUGUGAAAGCCCCCGGCUCAACCGGGGAACUGCAGGGCAUACUGUGUUGCUAGAGUACGAGAGGGGAGAGGAGAACUCCUGGUGGAGCGGUGGAAUGCGUAGAUAUCAGGAGGAAUGCCGAAGGUGAAGACACCUCUCUGGCUCGUAACUGACGUUAAGGCGCGAAAGCUAGGGUAGCGAACGGGAUUAGAAACCCCAGUAGUCC